CCAGACUCCUACGGGAGGCAGCAGUGGGGAAUAUUGCACAAUGGGGGAAACCCUGAUGCAGCGACGCCGCGUGAGUGAAGAAGUAUUUCGGUAUGUAAAGCUCUAUCAGCAGGGAAGAAAAUGACGGUACCUGACUAAGAAGCCCCGGCUAACUACGUGCCAGCAGCCGCGGUAAUACGUAGGGGGCAAGCGUUAUCCGGAUUUACCGGGUGUAAAGGGAGCGUAGACGGUGAUGCAAGUCAGAAGUGAAAGCCCGGGGCUCAACUCCGGGACUGCUUUUGAAACUGUGUAACUGGAGUGCAGGAGAGGUAAGCGGAAUUCCUGGUGUAGCGGUGAAAUGCGUAGAUAUCAGGAGGAACACCGGCGGCGAAGGCGGCCUGCUGGACCGUGACUGACGUUGAGGCUCGAGAGCGUGGGGAGCAAACAGGAUUAGAUACCCUCGUAUGA
Molecule: ribosomal RNA, 447 nt
Filed under: uncultured bacterium
Lineage: Bacteria
Description: bacterial SSU rRNA
Rfam family: Bacterial small subunit ribosomal RNA
Source: RNAcentral